This 138-nucleotide small nuclear RNA is filed under the name Peromyscus maniculatus bairdii (prairie deer mouse). RNAcentral describes it as "U1 spliceosomal RNA (ENSPEMG00000006680.2)". It matches the Rfam family "U1 spliceosomal RNA", at positions 1 to 131 of the family's 166-position model. Rfam says of the family: U1 is a small nuclear RNA (snRNA) component of the spliceosome (involved in pre-mRNA splicing). Its 5' end forms complementary base pairs with the 5' splice junction, thus defining the 5' donor site of an intron. There are significant differences in sequence and secondary structure between metazoan and yeast U1 snRNAs, the latter being much longer (568 nucleotides as compared to 164 nucleotides in human). Lineage: Eukaryota; Metazoa; Chordata; Mammalia; Rodentia; Cricetidae. The record is from RNAcentral.
UUAUUUACCCAACAGGGAAGAUAACAUAAUCAUGAGGGUGAUUUUCCCAGGAUGAGGCUCAUCCAUUGCACAUCGGAUGUGCUGACCACUUUCUCCUGAAAAAGAGGGAAAGAAAAAAAAAGUCUGCUGUAUGCCUUC